Molecule: non-coding RNA, 46 nt
Filed under: Schistosoma bovis
Lineage: Eukaryota; Metazoa; Platyhelminthes; Trematoda; Strigeidida; Schistosomatidae
Also listed under: 1 other name
Source: RNAcentral
GCACCGCUGAAGAGUUCCACAAUAGGACGAAACGGUCGUCCAGUGC